CGAACACAUCACGUUGAAACACCGGUUUCCGUAUAGUCACUGAAGUUAAGCAGCGUCGUUCCUGGGUAGUAACUAUAUGGGUGACCGUUUGAGAAUACCAGGUGCUGUAAG
Molecule: non-coding RNA, 111 nt
Organism: Acanthosepion pharaonis
Lineage: Eukaryota; Metazoa; Mollusca; Cephalopoda; Sepiida; Sepiidae
Source: the annotation of a GenBank genome assembly